This 72-nucleotide transfer RNA is filed under the name Nitrococcus mobilis Nb-231. It matches the Rfam family "tRNA". Rfam says of the family: Transfer RNA (tRNA) molecules are approximately 80 nucleotides in length. Their secondary structure includes four short double-helical elements and three loops (D, anti-codon, and T loops). The record is from Rfam by way of RNAcentral. Lineage: Bacteria; Pseudomonadati; Pseudomonadota; Gammaproteobacteria; Chromatiales; Ectothiorhodospiraceae.
UGGGGUGUCGCCAAGCGGUAAGGCACGGGGUUUUGAUCCCCGCAUUCGCAGGUUCGAAUCCUGCCACCCCAG